Molecule: transfer RNA, 73 nt
Filed under: Rhynchoconger ectenurus
Lineage: Eukaryota; Metazoa; Chordata; Actinopteri; Anguilliformes; Congridae
Description: tRNA-Ile
Rfam family: tRNA
About the family: Transfer RNA (tRNA) molecules are approximately 80 nucleotides in length.
Source: RNAcentral
GGAAAUGUGCCUGAAAAGAAUAAGGGCCACUUUGAUAGAGUGGAUUAUGAGAGUUAAAAUCCCCCCAUUUCCU